UACGUAGGUGGCAAGCGUUGUCCGGAUUUACUGGGCGUAAAGGAUGCGUAGGUGGAAAUUCAAGUCAGAUGUGAAAUACCAGGGCUUAACUUGGGUGCUGCAUUUGAAACUGGAUAUCUAGAGUGCAGGAGAGGUAAGUGGAAUUCCUAGUGUAGCGGUGAAAUGCGUAGAGAUUAGGAAGAACACCAGUGGCGAAGGCGACUUACUGGACUGUAACUGACACUGAGGCAUGAAAGCGUGGGGAGCAAACGGG
RNAcentral lists this ribosomal RNA (253 nucleotides) under uncultured bacterium. Its description in RNAcentral is "partial 16S ribosomal RNA". It matches the Rfam family "Bacterial small subunit ribosomal RNA", at positions 524 to 776 of the family's 1533-position model. The record is from RNAcentral.